This 253-nucleotide ribosomal RNA is filed under the name uncultured bacterium. RNAcentral's name for it is "partial 16S ribosomal RNA". It matches the Rfam family "Bacterial small subunit ribosomal RNA", at positions 524 to 776 of the family's 1533-position model. The record is from RNAcentral.
AACGUAGGUGGCAAGCGUUAUCCGGAAUUACUGGGCGUAAAGGGUGUGCAGGCGGGGGAACAAGUGGUGUAUGAAAUCUCCCAGCUUAACUGGGAUAGGUUAUGCCAGACUGUUCUUCUAGAGGACGAGAGAGGGGGGUGGAAUUCCGGGUGUAGUGGUGAAAUGCGUAGAGAUCCGGAGGAACCCCAGAGGCGAAGGCGGCCCCCUGGCUCGUACCUGACGCUGAGGCACGAAGGCCAGGGGAGCAAACGGG